RNAcentral lists this ribosomal RNA (710 nucleotides) under uncultured bacterium. RNAcentral's name for it is "bacterial SSU rRNA". It matches the Rfam family "Bacterial small subunit ribosomal RNA", at positions 8 to 746 of the family's 1533-position model. The record is from RNAcentral.
AGAGUUUGAUCAUGGCUCAGGACGAACGCUGGCGGCGUGCUUAACACAUGCAAGUCGAACGAGGUAGCAAUACCUAGUGGCGGACGGGUGAGUAACACGUAGGUAACCUGCCUCAUAGUGGGGGAUACCCAGCCGAAAGGUUGGCUAAUACCGCAUGAGCUGUGGAGUUGGAAUACUCUUCAGGAAAGAUUUAUCGCUAUGAGAGGGGCCUGCGUAUGAUUAGCUAGUUGGUGGGGUAACGGCUCACCAAGGCGACGAUCAUUAGCUGGUCUGAGAGGACGAUCAGCCACACUGGAACUGAGACACGGUCCAGACUCCUACGGGAGGCAGCAGUGGGGAAUUUUCCGCAAUGGGCGAAAGCCUGACGGAGCAACGCCGCGUGGGUGAUGAAGAUUUUCGGAUCGUAAAGCCCUUUCAGCAGGGACGAAAUAAAUGACGGUACCUGCAGAAGAAGCAUCGGCUAACUACGUGCCAGCAGCCGCGGUAAUACGUAGGAUGCAAGCGUUGUCCGGAAUUAUUGGGCGUAAAGCGAACGUAGGCGGUUACUUAAGUCUGGACUUAAAGACCGGGGCUCAACCUCGGGAAUGGUCUGGAUACUGGGUGACUGGAGGAUGUCAGAGGAAAGUGGAAUUCCAAGUGUAGCGGUGAAAUGCGUAGAUAUUUGGAGGAACACCAGUGGCGAAAGCGGCUUUCUGGGACAUUCCUGACGC